This 1052-nucleotide ribosomal RNA is filed under the name Cladosporium cladosporioides. RNAcentral describes it as "SSU rRNA". It matches the Rfam family "Eukaryotic small subunit ribosomal RNA", at positions 43 to 1111 of the family's 1831-position model. The record is from RNAcentral. Lineage: Eukaryota; Fungi; Ascomycota; Dothideomycetes; Cladosporiales; Cladosporiaceae.
GGAUCGUCAUGUCUAGUAUAAGCACUAUACGGUGAACUGCGAAUGGCUCAUUAAAUCAGUUAUCGUUUAUUUGAUAGUACCUUACUACAUGGAUAACCGUGGUAAUUCUAGAGCUAAUACAUGCUAAAAACCUCGACUUCGGAAGGGGUGUAUUUAUUAGAUAAAAAACCAAUGCCCUUCGGGGCUCCUUGGUGAAUCAUAAUAACUUAACGAAUCGCAUGGCCUUGCGCCGGCGAUGGUUCAUUCAAAUUUCUGCCCUAUCAACUUUCGAUGGUAGGAUAGUGGCCUACCAUGGUAUCAACGGGUAACGGGGAAUUAGGGUUCGACUCCGGAGAGGGAGCCUGAGAAACGGCUACCACAUCCAAGGAAGGCAGCAGGCGCGCAAAUUACCCAAUCCCGACACGGGGAGGUAGUGACAAUAAAUACUGAUACAGGGCUCUUUUGGGUCUUGUAAUUGGAAUGAGUACAAUUUAAAUCCCUUAACGAGGAACAAUUGGAGGGCAAGUCUGGUGCCAGCAGCCGCGGUAAUUCCAGCUCCAAUAGCGUAUAUUAAAGUUGUUGCAGUUAAAAAGCUCGUAGUUGAACCUUGGGCCUGGCUGGCCGGUCCGCCUCACCGCGUGUACUGGUCCGGCCGGGCCUUUCCUUCUGGGGAACCUCAUGCCCUUCACUGGGCGUGCUGGGGAACCAGGACUUUUACUUUGAAAAAAUUAGAGUGUUCAAAGCAGGCCUUUGCUCGAAUACAUUAGCAUGGAAUAAUAGAAUAGGACGUGUGGUUCUAUUUUGUUGGUUUCUAGGACCGCCGUAAUGAUUAAUAGGGAUAGUCGGGGGCAUCAGUAUUCAAGCGUCAGAGGUGAAAUUCUUGGAUUGCUUGAAGACUAACUACUGCGAAAGCAUUUGCCAAGGAUGUUUUCAUUAAUCAGUGAACGAAAGUUAGGGGAUCGAAGACGAUCAGAUACCGUCGUAGUCUUAACCAUAAACUAUGCCGACUAGGGAUCGGGCGGUGUUAGUAUUUUGACCCGCUCGGCACCUUACGAGAAAUCAAAGUUUUUGGG